UUGAGAUACAUAAUUAAAAGCUAUGAAUCAACAAACAAACUUGAAGAUUAUAGGAGUUGGGGUACUUAGUUUGAGUUUUUUUGUUGGAGCUCGUCGAAGGAUAAUUCCAGAUUCAAGACCUGUAAUUAGAUUCACAAACUAAUCCAAAGAAUGUUGUCAAAGUUUGUCAUAAGAAAAAACUUUAAACAAUAGUUACCUCUACAUUCAGUUAAUAGUUGCAACUCCCAAGUCCCAAGUAGAAGAAGUCUUCAAUGGUGCUUGAAUCAUGACGUCUGUGAGAUUUUAGAUGUCUGAAUGAUUUCAACCCGUACUUGGUAGCGUUACACGAUUACUAUGAUAUGGCGAUAAGUUUGUGAAGGUGAGGCUUUCCCAGCGAUUUGAAGAAAGCAACGAUGAGCUUCCUAGUCUGAAGAUGAAGAUGAAGGAUCGUUUUGGAAAAGUUGAAUUUUCU
Molecule: long non-coding RNA, 451 nt
Filed under: Solanum tuberosum (potato)
Lineage: Eukaryota; Viridiplantae; Streptophyta; Magnoliopsida; Solanales; Solanaceae
Description: long non-coding RNA (STUB_LNC004751)
Source: RNAcentral